RNAcentral lists this small RNA (125 nucleotides) under Marmota monax (woodchuck). The record is from RNAcentral. Lineage: Eukaryota; Metazoa; Chordata; Mammalia; Rodentia; Sciuridae.
GCUGGGAGCAGUGGUGCAUGCCUGUAAUUCCAGCAGCAUGGGAGGCUGAGACAGGAGGAUCAUGAGUUCAAAGACAGCCUCAGCAGUGUUGAGGCGUUAAGCAACACAGUGAGACCCUGUCUCUA